This is a long non-coding RNA of Melozone crissalis (California towhee), 488 nucleotides long. RefSeq lists it as uncharacterized. NCBI's taxonomy places the organism in Eukaryota, Metazoa, Chordata, Aves, Passeriformes, Passerellidae. The record is from RefSeq and is a predicted model, not a curated record. The transcript has 3 exons.
CUGCCCCUGGAGGCCGGGCUGCUCCUUGGCCCCGGCACAAGGGAAGCACUCAGCUGUGCUCCUGGCCGGCUCCCAUGGGCGGUAAGCGCUGCCUGCAGUCCCGCUUGGGAGCACGAACAUGCUCCCACCAGCAGGUGCUGCGGUGAAAAGUUUCCUGGGCUCGGUUGUCUCGGCAGGCCGGGGCAGUGCCGCCAUCCCCGGGGAGCCGGUACUCACGGAGGAUGCGUUGUCCGGGCAGGACAGCCCAUCCUGCAGGCACCUGAAUGCACCUGUAUCCCUUCGGCCCUGAGAAGAUUGCUGAAAAAUGCCCACAGCAUGGCUACCUGAAGAAUUCUGAACAGAGGAGGAAUGAAUCAGAGAAUCAAAGAAUAGUGGCUGCCCUGGAUGCCUGAACAGCCUUGGCCUUUCUAUUCCAUUGUUGCUUGAAACUGGACACACAAGCACUAUGAAAAAAGGUCUAAUUUUCUCCAUCUGGAAGCUGAAGAUAA